This 460-nucleotide ribosomal RNA is filed under the name uncultured bacterium. Its description in RNAcentral is "partial 16S ribosomal RNA". It matches the Rfam family "Bacterial small subunit ribosomal RNA", at positions 338 to 795 of the family's 1533-position model. The record is from RNAcentral.
CCUACGGGUGGCUGCAGUGAGGAAUAUUGGUCAAUGGACGAGAGUCUGAACCAGCCAAGUCGCGUGAAGGAUGACUGCCCUAUGGGUUGUAAACUUCUUUUAUAAAGGGAUAAAACUAGACACGUGUACCUUUUUGCAUGUACUUUAUGAAUAAGGAUCGGCUAACUCCGUGCCAGCAGCCGCGGUAAUACGGAGGGUCCGAGCGUUAACCGGAUUUAUUGGGUUUAAAGGGAGCGUAGGUGGGUUGUUAAGUCAGUUGUGAAAGUUUACGGCUUAACCAUAAAAUUGCAUUUGAUACUGGUAGUCUAGAGUAUAGUUGAGGUAGGUGGAAUUCGUGGUGUAGCGGUAAAAUGCGUAGAGAUCACGAAGAAUACCCGUUGCGAAGGCGGACUGCUAGACAAUAACUGACGCUGAGGCACGAAAGCGUGGGGAGCAAACAGGAUUAGAUACCCGUGUAGUC